RNAcentral lists this long non-coding RNA (1644 nucleotides) under Marmota monax (woodchuck). The record is from RNAcentral. Lineage: Eukaryota; Metazoa; Chordata; Mammalia; Rodentia; Sciuridae.
AUCCAUUUAAAACAGUAUUUAUAGAAACAAAUAUACCUCUAUGUCCCCCCAACCCUGCUUCCCAGUUAUGACCAUUUCCCCAAUUUUGUAUGAUCUAUCCAAAGAAUUUCCUCACCACAUGUUUUUGGCUGGAGACGAAACCUGUCAGUGCCUCCACACCGAGGUGUGCGUUCAGCUGGUGUGGACAUGCGAUGAGCCUGGCUCUGGAGCCAGAAGCUGGAGCGGCGGCUUCCUGAUUUGGCAGAUGGCUUCCUGAUGGUUUGCAAAAGAAGAGGCCGCCUUGGUGGUCCAGUUCUGCAGUCAGCUUUGGGAGCUGGUCCUGAAGAUGCAGCCUAGAAUCUGUUUCUUCAGCUUUCCAAAUAUUUCUGUAAGUCAUUCAAUACCAUUUGUGUUUAAAUUAUCCAGAAAAAAUUUUGUCUCUGCAGUUAGAAGCUAAGGAAGCCCCAACCUACGCUGUCCUUCACUCGGUUUAACCCUGCUUCAAACUGGUCCAACUUCAACCCUUCAUUCCAACCUCCAGGCCUGUGGAAUCCAAGUCAAGGUUCAAGUCUAGCUCAACAAACCAGCCCCAACCAACCCAGCCCUGACUCACCCCCUUCCAGCCAGCCCAUCUGAACUCAAUCAACUCAUCCCAAACCAGCCCAUACCAACUCUUAACCUAAAAACAAACAAACAAACACAUUUUAUUUCCAACCCCAUCUAUAUGAUCCCCUCCAACUCAACCUACCCAAUGAAUCUCAACCCAACUCAUUCCAUGUAGCACAGCCCAAGCAACUUCAUAGAUACCAGAUCUCUUUUGGAAGCCACUGCACAGAGCAAUGAGAACUUGAACUUCUCUACAGAGGUAAGGCUGCAAUCUCUGCUUAGCGUCUCCUCCUUUCCUUUCUGUUUCCUUUUUCCCAUUUCUUUCCACACCAUAGACCCUGCCUCCUUGCUUAUGAACUUUCCCUUUGGCUACCCAGUGUCCCUACAAUGAUUUCUGAUUUCAAGACACCCAGGGACAUGCUCCACACUGUCCCAGCUCUGCCUGCCUAGAGACUGCCCCCGGACCUCUGCUCUACACAGCCUAUUCAUUAGCAGGUGGGAUUUCUGUAAUCAGAAUCUAAAGAUGUUCUGCCCUGACCUCUGGAACUCCUGAAGAUACUGAGACAUGGCUCCUGUGAUUGUGUUAUAUGGUACACUUCACUGUAAGUCAGGGAUAUUAUCCGGGAUUAUCUGGGUGGUCCCAGAGUAAUCACACCAGCCCUUAAAAUGCAGCAAGCUUUCUCCAGCUGCCAGCAGAGCAGAAAGUCAGAGACACACAGAGGGAAACUUAGAGGUACUUGAAAUGUGACAAUGACUUGCCACACGGUUGCUGGCUUUGAAAAUGGAGGCAACAUGUGAGAAGGCAUGUGUGUGGCCCCGAGAAACCGUCAGUCAGCAAGAAUCAGGGAAUGCAGAUCUACAGCUGCAAGGAGCUGGAUUUUGCCCACCCUCUCUACGGGAUUGGAAGUGCCUUCUUCCCAGCACCGCCGCAGAAGACUCCAGCCAGCACCUUGACUGGGUCUGUAAGACCCUGAGCAGAGGACUCGGAUAGCCCAUCUGGAUUUCUGGGCUACAGAACUGUGAGAUAAUAAAUGAAUGUUUCUAUAAACUGCUGACUUC